UUAUUUACUAUUUUAUAUCUCAUUCUAUUUAUAUUACGAGUAUAGGAAUUUUUAAAUAAUUGUUGAAAGAAUUCUCCUAGACGGCAAUUUCCAUAUCCUAGAUGCCAAAGAUUUGGAGUUGAAACUAUGAUGGGCCCAAUUCAUCCUCCUCUCUCUACAUCUUGCAUACAUGCAGCACCUCCUUCUUCUCUAUCUUGUUAUAGCACGUUUUUUUUUAUGGAUUGUUGUUUCCUGAAAAUAAGUUAACAUAUUUUAGUAUAUCUGACAGAUAAAAUGGAGUUUAAUCGAGUGGAUUAAUUCGUGCACCUCUUCGUCCUCCUCAGAUCCUAGGGGCAAGGCGAAGAAACCAAGGACUAUCACAAAGGUGGCCCUCAUCAGUAGAGUCAAGCAAUCUCAAAGAAAGCCACUUAGGUGGCUGUUCCACGACCAAGUAAUCCUCCAUUGGAUGCUCAUUAAUGAAGAAUUAAGCCUGAUUUGGAGGAUGUUUACCUUGGUUGCCACAUCGAGAUCCUCGGUUCCUCGCAUGGGGGGACAUCUGUCCCCUUUCAUGUCUACGUGCGGAGCUCACAGAUGAAAUUUGUUGGGGGGAUUUAGGAUGGAGGAACCAACCAUCUAGUUGUUGGACCCUUGGAUUGCUACAAAGCUAGAUGGUGAUCCAGCACCAAAUUCAAUGGUGGUCUUCCUUCCAUGGACAUGCUUGGAUUAACAUUCUGUAAGGUCAACAAGGUUCAUGUGGAUUUGUGUAAUCUCAAAACAGUAUCAAAUCCUUCAAUGUAAAUGACAAGUGCAAUAUAUGUUCAUUUUCCCAAUCGA
This is a non-coding RNA of Phoenix dactylifera (date palm), 813 nucleotides long. The record is from RefSeq and is a predicted model, not a curated record. NCBI's taxonomy places the organism in Eukaryota, Viridiplantae, Streptophyta, Magnoliopsida, Arecales, Arecaceae.